GACGAACGCUGGCGGCGUGCCUAAUACAUGCAAGUAGAACGCUGAAGGAGGAGCUUGCUUCUCUGGAUGAGUUGCGAACGGGUGAGUAACGCGUAGGUACCUGCCUGGUAGCGGGGGAUAACUAUUGGAAACGAUAGCUAAUACCGCAUAACAGUAGAUAUCGCAUGAUAUCUACUUGAAAGGUGCAAUUGCAUCACUACCAGAUGGACCUGCGUUGUAUUAGCUAGUUGGUGAGGUAACGGCUCACCAAGGCGACGAUACAUAGCCGACCUGAGAGGGUGAUCGGCCACACUGGGACUGAGACACGGCCCAGACUCCUACGGGAGGCAGCAGUAGGGAAUCUUCGGCAAUGGACGGAAGUCUGACCGAGCAACGCCGCGUGAGUGAAGAAGGUUUUCGGAUCGUAAAGCUCUGUUGUAAGAGAAGAACGAGUGUGAGAGUGGAAAGUUCACACUGUGACGGUAUCUUACCAGAAAGGGACGGCUAACUACGUG
RNAcentral lists this ribosomal RNA (494 nucleotides) under uncultured bacterium. Its description in RNAcentral is "partial 16S ribosomal RNA". It matches the Rfam family "Bacterial small subunit ribosomal RNA", at positions 28 to 507 of the family's 1533-position model. The record is from RNAcentral.